This is a long non-coding RNA of Schistocerca gregaria, 2717 nucleotides long. RefSeq lists it as uncharacterized. The record is from RefSeq and is a predicted model, not a curated record. Lineage: Eukaryota; Metazoa; Arthropoda; Insecta; Orthoptera; Acrididae. The transcript has 3 exons.
UGUCCAUGUAAGCCACUGUAUUUGCCAUUGAAUGGUGUAGGGUUGGAAACCUCGCAUCUGAGUCUUUCUUGCACCGCUUCAGACCAGUAUUUGUCGAGGAGAGCUCGAUCAAGUUGGAUAAAGUGGUUCAACGUUCGGCCACUUCAGUUGCCCAUAAAAGAACGUCACCUUGCGUAUAUCCCUCGAUAAAUCUGAUUUUCUGUGCUUCUGUCCAGCUGCGUGGAAAUACAUGACGACAAGCACUGAUAAAUACUACGGGAUUCAUUGCUUUAUCUUUGGUAAUGAAUGUAGGAAACUGUUGAUGUCUCAGCAAACCUUCGUCUACAAAAAUAGUUGAUAGACAUGUGGCAUUUUCGAUCGCAUUUUUUUUUUAAAUUCCAGCUGGUAUUGGAGUUGUGGGUAUGUUUACAUUUUGCACGCUACAACUGUGACUGGUACCUGCUGUGAGACUUGUGGCAAUUUGUGAAUAAAUGCCAACAGGUUGUGGUUUGUUCACUGCAGCCUGUGUAUAUUUACAUGCAUAUUUCGAGAUACGGUGAAGCAGCCACCUAGAAUGAAGUAAAAUCUGAAAAUAAGUUGCAUAAAUAUCUAGUCAGACCUUGACAAGAUUUCCAAGUGGUGCCAAGAUUGACAGUUUGUCUUAAACUUAAAACUGUCACAAAACAAUUUAUGGGGAUAAUAGACUGCUGUAGGAAAAGCAGGUGGCAAGCAUCAUUUCAUUGCUGGGGUAUACAAAGAGAACCACAGGCUUUUCUGACUGAAGGAAGAGUUUCAUGGAAAUUGUGAAAAACUUGCAGUACAAAAACCUGAAUAUGAACAUAAACUAUUCUGUGAAAACAGGAAUUAUCCUCUGGCACACACUUCACAGUAGUUACCACAGUAUGGCUGCAGAUGUAGCUAUUAGCUGUAGAUAGGCAGUCAUAAUAUCCACUGCAUCUGUGACUUCUUUAGUUAGUGAUUAAGGUGCAGGUGCUACACUAGUGUGAGAAAGAUACUUCUGGAUCCACUUCUAAGAAAGGAGAACCCUACAUAUGUGUACAAGAAAUGUAUUUACUGGACACAAAUAUAUCGAGCGAAGCAGUGGACACUAGAAAAUGGAGUGUCAAGUAGAGGGUUCAGAACAUUUCUCAUAUUCUGCUAUUUGAUACAACAGAUGGAUUACAGCAGCAAAGCCAGAAACAUUUGCACCAUGUAUAGGGAUAAUGCCACUGGACAGAAUACUGCAAGAAAAUGGUUUUCUACUUUUAAGGAGGAUCAUUUUGACAUUAUUGGCUCUCCACAUGCAAGGAGAUCUUUGGGGUUUGAUGAUGAUCAUGUAAACACAUUAAUCCACAACGAUCCAUAUCAGUGUACACCAGAACUGGCAAAUGUGUUAAACUGUGAUCAUUCCACCGUUGUGCUACGUUGCAUGCAAUGGGGAAGGUUCAAAACUUGUGUGUAUGGAUGCAGCAUGCUCUAAGCCAAAACCACAAAAAUCAGCAGGUGGCAAUGUGUGGAUAUCUGCUUGCCUGUCAUCAACUGGCUCGUGAACAACACCAACUAGUUCUAUCUUGUAUCAUUACUCGUGACAAGAAAUGGUGCAUUUAUGUUAACAUACGGAAAAGAAAGGAAUGGUUGACCCUAAACAAAGCAGCAACUCCCCAUACAAAGCCCUCCGCACAUCCACAACAGAUAAUGUUAUGCGCAUCUGGUGGAAGAAUGACGGUGUGAUGUACCAUGAAUUGUUUUCCCAAGAUGUAACCAACAACAUCUAUGCCAACAACUGAGACAUCUUGUAGAUGCAAUCCAGGAACAACCAGGAAGACUACAUGAAGUGAUGCUACUUCCCAAUAAUACCCAGCAGCAUUUUGAUAGACUGGCAAAAAAACACAAUACAGGAGUUGAUCUUGCAUCCUCGGAUUUUUACUUUUCCCAUUCUCUAUCGAACAGCCUUCACGGAACUUCCUUUCCUGAUGAAAAUUCACUCUCAAAAUGUCUCUCUGAAUUCUUUGCCUCAAAACUACGUGAGUUCUAGUGUCACAGAACUGGAAAGUUAUCCCAGCAUUGGUAGACUGCCGUAAAUAGUGAAGAAUAUAUUAUUCAUGACUGAAGUCUCUGUUACGUGUAUAUAUUGCAUUUCUUAAAAAGAUGGAAAACACUACAACUUAUCCUCCAAUCCAAAAUAUUUUUUGAAACAGAAGAAAGUGAUUCAUAUGUGAAUACCACUGGCUUUUGUCAAACGUGUGUGAGUGGUUGGACAUUAAUGUGCUUAUACUUGAAGCAGGAAGGCAAUCUGCGAUCGGUAUUUAAUGAGAUGGGCUGUGGCACUUUGUACAGCAGUACAAUGUUUGAAUUCCAUUACAAAAGUGUUACCAUGAAACAACAGAAAUAGUACUAGUAAUCCUUUUUUGGUGGCAGAUUAUGACUUUAUCAUUGACUGAGUGGAUUGGAAGGUUUGAUGGAAUGCCAUGUAUAUAUCAGCGACUGUAUUGUGUGAUGUGUUAUUUUUAUAGAGGCAAUAAAGAGCUUGCAAUUCGCAUUCAUUUUUUGUGCUUUUUUUCUGAAUGUGGUUUACAAAAAUAUGUGGUUUACCAGUUAUGUUACCAUUAUUAAUUGAACAUCAUCAUGCCACUGUCUUGCAUUUCAGGCAGUUUGAGGACUUAUACAUAGCCUUUGAAUUAGAAGAAGAGAGAACAGCUGUAGAUGAUGCCAGGGUAAGUGGGCCCUCACUGACACAG